GUGGUGAAGUGGUUAACACAUCAGAUUGUGGCUCUGACAUUCGGGGGUUCGAAUCCCUCUCUUUCCA
RNAcentral lists this transfer RNA (67 nucleotides) under Streptococcus agalactiae. Its description in RNAcentral is "tRNA-His". It matches the Rfam family "tRNA". From Rfam's summary of the family: Transfer RNA (tRNA) molecules are approximately 80 nucleotides in length. The record is from RNAcentral. Lineage: Bacteria; Bacillati; Bacillota; Bacilli; Lactobacillales; Streptococcaceae.